AAAUUAUAAUACAGUGGAAAACCAGGUUCAUGCAUGAUUGCAUGAUACUAUUGUCAUUCCCCAUCUUUCUGAGGAUUGUGCUGACUGCUUAAGCCUGAGAUUCAGGGAUGACAUCGUUGCAUCAGUAUUUCCUUACUCCUCAGCUCUCCUGUGCUGAUUUGAAGAGCAAUAUGUCUGCUGGUGGUGAUGAAAAGCAACAUCACUGCUGACUUCCCUAAAGUGGAGCCCUGCCAAUGUUGAUCAUUGUUACAGAGACUAGGCUAUCUCAGCUGUCCACAGAAAUCUGAAAUCUUCCUUGGGGUUUAAGUGGUGCUACGGACAAUCAGUCCAAAGAUGUUGAGACCCAGAUGUUUACACAGACAAAGCUACAGUCCUUGACCUGACAAAUAGCACUGGGAUUUAAUCCAAACCUUUAAGAUCUGAAUACCAGAUUAAGAAGACCUGGAUUCUGAUCAGCGUAAAUCAAAAGCAUCCCUGCUGACACCAGUGGGAGGCUGGAGAAGAGGUGAUAAAGAGCCCAAUUUUGGCCCGACAAGAAAUUCCACUGCCAGCACACACCGAGGAUGGUUGAAAUCGAGGAAUCUGUCCCCUGGUAACUUCAGUAUCAGAUCUCAUGGUGUUGUCACCCAGAAGAGGCAGCACAUUAGUUGGACCUGGCUCCAAAAAGCACCAAAAAGCCCCACUGAAGCUCCUGAUCUAUGCAGAAGCUAUACAGCCAGUUCAAAGUAACACACAGCUUCUUCCGGUAAAGUGUGGUUUGUUUUGUUUUGUUUUGUUGGUUUUUUUGGGUGGGGAGGGGGUUAAUGUCUGCA
This is a long non-coding RNA of Alligator mississippiensis (American alligator), 812 nucleotides long. RefSeq lists it as uncharacterized. The record is from RefSeq and is a predicted model, not a curated record. Lineage: Eukaryota; Metazoa; Chordata; Crocodylia; Alligatoridae. The transcript has 4 exons.